UACGAAGGGGGCUAGCGUUGCUCGGAAUCACUGGGCGUAAGCGCACGUAGGCGGCUUCUUAAGUCAGGGGUGAAAUCCUGGAGCUCAACUCCAGAACUGCCUUUGAUACUGAGGAGCUUGAGUCCGGGAGAGGUGAGUGGAACUGCGAGUGUAGAGGUGAAAUUCGUAGAUAUUCGCAAGAACACCAGUGGCGAAGGCGGCUCACUGGCCCGGUACUGACGCUGAGGUGCGAAAGCGUGGGGAGCAAACAGG
This 252-nucleotide ribosomal RNA is filed under the name uncultured bacterium. RNAcentral's name for it is "partial 16S ribosomal RNA". It matches the Rfam family "Bacterial small subunit ribosomal RNA", at positions 524 to 776 of the family's 1533-position model. The record is from RNAcentral.